This 269-nucleotide ribosomal RNA is filed under the name Rhizobium sp. CRIBSB. RNAcentral describes it as "partial 16S ribosomal RNA". It matches the Rfam family "Bacterial small subunit ribosomal RNA", at positions 1 to 299 of the family's 1533-position model. Lineage: Bacteria; Pseudomonadati; Pseudomonadota; Alphaproteobacteria; Hyphomicrobiales; Rhizobiaceae. The record is from RNAcentral.
UCAACUUGAGAGUUUGAUCCUGGCUCAGAACGAACGCUGGCGGCAGGCUUAACACAUGCAAGUCGAGCGCCCCGCAAGGGGAGCGGCAGACGGGUGAGUAACGCGUGGGAAUCUACCGUGCCCUACGGAAUAGCUCCGGGAAACUGGAAUUAAUACCGUAUACGCCCUACGGGGGAAAGAUUUAUCGGGGUAUGAUGAGCCCGCGUUGGAUUAGCUAGUUGGUGGGGUAAAGGCCUACCAAGGCGACGAUCCAUAGCUGGUCUGAGAGG